This 1609-nucleotide long non-coding RNA is filed under the name Gossypium barbadense (sea-island cotton). RNAcentral's name for it is "long non-coding RNA (GBAR_LNC008250)". The record is from RNAcentral. Lineage: Eukaryota; Viridiplantae; Streptophyta; Magnoliopsida; Malvales; Malvaceae.
UCAAAUAUUUAACAAAAUACCAAAAGAAGUCGAUAGUGUGAUGGACUGUGCUGAUGAUCCCCGAGCUCGUAACGCGUCUCCAAAUCUAUAAAAACGAAUGAAUGAAAGCAAACGAAGUAAGCUUUUAUAGCUUAGUAAGUCUCCAGCAUAACUAAAUGUAUAAUUAUAAACACAUAAUUAUUAUAACCUUUUUAAUCUAUUCUACUGAAAUUUCAAUUAACACAACCAACUAACAUUCAUACAUUAUUCUACUCAGACCAUUUCAUUUAUAGUCAGAUAUGUAUACCUGUCGGGUGAAUUCAGUUUAAUAUAUAUAUUAUACAAAACAACAUUACAAUUGAAUGUAUACCACCGAGCAUAUAUAUACAUAUUAUAUACAUAUCAAACCGAUUGUAUAUGUACACUCAUGGUAAGUUCUAAAUCAAUUCAAAUCUAACACAAAUAUAUAUACAUCAAUCACAUCUUAUAUUUGUUUGUAUAUAAAUAUACUCAUUACGAAUUUAUACCUGAAUACCUAGGUAACAUCGAAAUACACAUAUAUAUAUAUAUCAAAUGCAUACAUGAUUAAUUAUCAAACACAUAGGCUCAACAUAUAUAUGUUUAACUACCACAUAUCACCAUAUGCAUUUAUAAAUUCAGCAAUCACAUAUAUCUAAUGUACAUAUGUAUUCAUCGAUUUCAUAUAAUCACAAAUCAUGGAUAUAUCCAUUGUAUAUUCUAACACAAUUUAAACAGAUUCAUCGGCAUUUUGCCUGCUAGGCUUAAAGCCUGAUUCAGUACACCGGCACUUAGCCUGCUAGACAUAUAGUCUGAAAUGUAUCACCGGCAUUAAGCCUGCUAGACUUAAAGUCUGUAUUACAUUCAAUCACUUUAUAAUAAUUCAAACUAACAAUUUCAUAUCUUCACUACCAUUCAAAAACUUUUACGUGAAUAUACAUACAAAAUCGAAACUUUCACAUACAUAUAUUAUUCUAUACCAAAUUUCGAUUCAAGAAUUUAUACAUGUGCAUUUAUACAUAUUCGAAUCUACCAUAUGAAUGUAUAAUUUCAUACUCAAUUUCAAAACAAAAACUUGUACAUAUAUAAAUGCACAAUCAAUCCUCGCAUACUUAAAUAAUGACAUAACUAAAUUCAAUACACAACACAUACAUGUAUAUUUGCAUGCUUAUUCGACUUUAUAUAUAUAUAUAUACAUACUUAUAUAAUCAUACAAACCAUAUAUAUAUAUACCUAUAUCUUAUACAUACCUUUGAUUUAUCCAAUAAUUUAUACAAGAUCAUACUUGUAUAUUCGAACAUGUUAUGUACAAUAUCUAUAGUCCAAAGUUUAUUCAACUAUUAUACUUUAAAUUAUAGCUCAAUCAUAAGAUAAAAAUUAGUAUGCAUGUAUAAAUAUUAACUUAAUAACUUUUAGUUGCUAAUAGACUUACCUCGGAUAUCAGCAAACACGAUCGACUAUUCGAUUAUCUUCGACUUCCCCCGAUCCAAAUUCGUUUUCUUCGUUCCUUGAUCUUGAAUUGAAAUCCCUAAGAUGGCCGAAUGCUAAAGCUUGAAGAACAAAGUUUCUUUCUUUUUGUUUCGGUGAUACAAACAAUGAAGAAAGAAAGAAA